CAGAGAUCCCAAUCCACUUUCUGGCGCCUUCAGAGAGCCUAUGGAAGCCUUAGAAAUUGUCACGUUACAGCAGAGAUACUGUAUUUUCGAUAGAGAUAACCUAGAAGGACAAGAAAUGGUCAGACAGGGCACUUCCUGUAUGGAAUCUUCUCAGGUUUUGGCCUGCCAUAUGAGUUCUGUUAUACUCACAGACACCAUUCAAACAGUUUUAGAGUCUUUUCUAUCCACAUAUACUAAUUAUAUGCAUAUUCUAGUUUCUGGGCCUGAGUAGUAACCAGAUUAAAUCGGGUACGUUAUUUUCACCCGGUCGUGAAAAUAGUGCCCCCUAUCCAUAAGAAGAUAUACUACCCACCACUGCGACCUGUGCGCUCUCGUUGGCUGGCCCUCGCUUCAUACUCGUUGCCAAACCCACUGGCUCCAGGUCAUCUACAAGACCCAGCUAGGUAAAGUCCCCCCUUAUCUCCGCUCACUGGUCCCCAUAGCAGCACCCACCUGUAGCACGCGCUCCAGCAGGUAUAUCUCUCUGGUCACCCUCAAAGCCAAUUUCUCCUUUGGCCGUCUCUCCUUCCAGUUCUCUGCUGCCAAUGACUGGAACGAACUACAAAAAUCUCUGAAACUGGAAACACUUAUCUCCCUCACUAGCUUUAAGCACCAGCUGUCAGAGCAGCUCACAGAUCACUGCACCUGUACAUAGCCCAUCUAUAAUUUAGCCCAUACAACUACCCCUUCCCCAACUGUAUUUAUUUAUUUUGCUCCUUUGCACCCCAUUAUUUAUAUUUUGCACUUUCUUCCACUACAAAUCUACCAUUCCAGUGUUUUACUUGCUAUAUUGUAUUUACUUUGCCACCAUGGCCUUUUUUGCCUUUACCUCCCUUAUCUCACCUCAUUUGCUCACAUUGUAUAUAGACUUAUUUUUCUACUGUAUUAUUGACUGUAUGUUUGUUUUACUGCAUGUGUAACUCUGUGUUGUUGUAUGUGUCGAACUGCUUUGCUUUAUCUUGGCCAGGUCGCAAUUGUAAAUGAGAACUUGUUCUCAACUUGCCUACCUGGUUAAAUAAAGGACAAAUAAAAUGUAAGAAAAAUGUUAAGUUAGUUGUGUCAAACGAUGUGUAAUAUGUUUAAUAUUAAAUUAAGGAUUUGUUUUAUCUGUUUUCUUGGUUAAUAAAUAAAGUAGAGCUUGGCUUGAGAGCUUAAAACUAUCAUGUGUCAAAUGGCU
RNAcentral lists this long non-coding RNA (1216 nucleotides) under Salmo salar (Atlantic salmon). RNAcentral describes it as "lncRNA (ENSSSAG00000087284.1)". Lineage: Eukaryota; Metazoa; Chordata; Actinopteri; Salmoniformes; Salmonidae. The record is from RNAcentral.